GUUGGUGAGGUAACGGCUCACCAAGGCGACGAUCCCUAGCUGGUCUGAGAGGAUGACCAGCCACACUGGAACUGAGACACGGUCCAGACUCCUACGGGAGGCAGCAGUGGGGAAUAUUGCACAAUGGGCGCAAGCCUGAUGCAGCCAUGCCGCGUGUAUGAAGAAGGCCUUCGGGUUGUAAAGUACUUUCAGCGGGGAGGAAGGUGUUGUGGUUAAUAACCACAGCAAUUGACGUUACCCGCAGAAGAAGCACCGGCUAACUCCGUGCCAGCAGCCGCGGUAAUACGGAGGGUGCAAGCGUUAAUCGGAAUUACUGGGCGUAAAGCGCACGCAGGCGGUCUGUCAAGUCGGAUGUGAAAUCCCCGGGCUCAACCUGGGAACUGCAUUCGAAACUGGCAGGCUUGAGUCUUGUAGAGGGGGGUAGAAUUCCAGGUGUAGCGGUGAAAUGCGUAGAGAUCUGGAGGAAUACCGGUGGCGAAGGCGGCCCCCUGGACAAAGACUGACGCUCAGGUGCGAAAGCGUGGGGAGCAAACAGGAUUAGAUACCCUGGUAGUCCACGCCGUAAACGAUGUCUACUUGGAGGUUGUGCCCUUGAGGCGUGGCUUCCGGAGCUAACGCGUUAAGUAGACCGCCUGGGGAGUACGGCCGCAAGGUUAAAACUCAAAUGAAUUGACGGGGGCCCGCACAAGCGGUGGAGCAUGUGGUUUAAUUCGAUGCAACGCGAAGAACCUUACCUGGUCUUGACAUCCACGGAAGUUUUCAGAGAUGAGAAUGUGCCUUCGGGAACCGUGAGACAGGUGCUGCAUGGCUGUCGUCAGCUCGUGUUGUGAAAUGUUGGGUUAAGUCCCGCAACGAGCGCAACCCUUAUCCUUUGUUGCCAGCGGUCCGGCCGGGAACUCAAAGGAGACUGCCAGUGAUAAACUGGAGGAAGGUGGGGAUGACGUCAAGUCAUCAUGGCCCUUACGACCAGGGCUACACACGUGCUACAAUGGCGCAUACAAAGAGAAGCGACCUCGCGAGAGCAAGCGGACCUCAUAAAGUGCGUCGUAGUCCGGAUUGGAGUCUGCAACUCGACUCCAUGAAGUCGGAAUCGCUAGUAAUCGUGGAUCAGAAUGCCACGGUGAAUACGUUCCCGGGCCUUGUACACACCGCCCGUCACACCAUGGGAGUGGGUUGCAAAAGAAGUAGGUAGCUUAACCUUCGGGAGGGCGCUUACCACUUUGUGAUUCAUGACUGGGGUGAAGUCGUAACAAGGUAACCGUAGGGGAACCUGC
RNAcentral lists this ribosomal RNA (1274 nucleotides) under Salmonella enterica subsp. enterica serovar Enteritidis. RNAcentral's name for it is "bacterial SSU rRNA". It matches the Rfam family "Bacterial small subunit ribosomal RNA", at positions 248 to 1515 of the family's 1533-position model. Lineage: Bacteria; Pseudomonadati; Pseudomonadota; Gammaproteobacteria; Enterobacterales; Enterobacteriaceae. The record is from RNAcentral.